UACGGGGGGGGCAAGCGUUGUUCGGAAUUACUGGGCGUAAAGGGCUCGUAGGUGGCCAACUAAGUCAGACGUGAAAUCCCUCGGCUUAACCGGGGAACUGCGUCUGAUACUGGAUGGCUCGAGUGUGGGAGAGGAAUGCGGAAUUCCAGGUGUAGCGGUGAAAUGCGUAGAUAUCUGGAGGAACACCGGUGGCGAAGGCGGCAUUCUGGACCAUAACUGACACUGAGAGACGAAAGCCAGGGGAGCAAACGGG
Molecule: ribosomal RNA, 253 nt
Filed under: uncultured bacterium
Lineage: Bacteria
Description: partial 16S ribosomal RNA
Rfam family: Bacterial small subunit ribosomal RNA
Source: RNAcentral